CCUACGGGAGACAGCAGUGAGGAAUAUUGGUCAAUGGACGAGAGUCUGAACCAGCCAAGUAGCGUGAAGGAUGACUGCCCUAUGGGUUGUAAACUUCUUUUAUAUGGGAAUAAAAUGUUCCACGUGUGGGAUUUUGUAUGUACCAUAUGAAUAAGGAUCGGCUAACUCCGUGCCAGCAGCCGCGGUAAUACGGAGGAUCCGAGCGUUAUCCGGAUUUAUUGGGUUUAAAGGGAGCGUAGGUGGAUUGUUAAGUCAGUUGUGAAAGUUUGCGGCUCAACCGUAAAAUUGCAGUUGAAACUGGCAGUCUUGAGUAUAGUAGAGGUGGGCGGAAUUCGUGGUGUAGCGGUGAAAUGCUUAGAUAUCACGAAGAACUCCGAUUGCGAAGGCAGUUCACUGGACUGCAACUGACACUGAGGCUCGAAAGUGUGGGUAUCAAACAGGAUUAGAUACCCCAGUAGUC
RNAcentral lists this ribosomal RNA (460 nucleotides) under uncultured bacterium. RNAcentral's name for it is "partial 16S ribosomal RNA". It matches the Rfam family "Bacterial small subunit ribosomal RNA", at positions 338 to 795 of the family's 1533-position model. The record is from RNAcentral.